This 930-nucleotide ribosomal RNA is filed under the name Escherichia coli. Its description in RNAcentral is "partial 23S ribosomal RNA". It matches the Rfam family "Bacterial large subunit ribosomal RNA", at positions 1920 to 2844 of the family's 2925-position model. The record is from RNAcentral. Lineage: Bacteria; Pseudomonadati; Pseudomonadota; Gammaproteobacteria; Enterobacterales; Enterobacteriaceae.
CCGGUAAACGGCGGCCGUAACUAUAACGGUCCUAAGGUAGCGAAAUUCCUUGUCGGGUAAGUUCCGACCUGCACGAAUGGCGUAAUGAUGGCCAGGCUGUCUCCACCCGAGACUCAGUGAAAUUGAACUCGCUGUGAAGAUGCAGUGUACCCGCGGCAAGACGGAAAGACCCCGUGAACCUUUACUAUAGCUUGACACUGAACAUUGAGCCUUGAUGUGUAGGAUAGGUGGGAGGCUUAGAAGUGUGGACGCCAGUCUGCAUGGAGCCGACCUUGAAAUACCACCCUUUAAUGUUUGAUGUUCUAACGUUGACCCGUAAUCCGGGUUGCGGACAGUGUCUGGUGGGUAGUUUGACUGGGGCGGUCUCCUCCUAAAGAGUAACGGAGGAGCACGAAGGUUGGCUAAUCCUGGUCGGACAUCAGGAGGUUAGUGCAAUGGCAUAAGCCAGCUUGACUGCGAGCGUGACGGCGCGAGCAGGUGCGAAAGCAGGUCAUAGUGAUCCGGUGGUUCUGAAUGGAAGGGCCAUCGCUCAACGGAUAAAAGGUACUCCGGGGAUAACAGGCUGAUACCGCCCAAGAGUUCAUAUCGACGGCGGUGUUUGGCACCUCGAUGUCGGCUCAUCACAUCCUGGGGCUGAAGUAGGUCCCAAGGGUAUGGCUGUUCGCCAUUUAAAGUGGUACGCGAGCUGGGUUUAGAACGUCGUGAGACAGUUCGGUCCCUAUCUGCCGUGGGCGCUGGAGAACUGAGGGGGGCUGCUCCUAGUACGAGAGGACCGGAGUGGACGCAUCACUGGUGUUCGGGUUGUCAUGCCAAUGGCACUGCCCGGUAGCUAAAUGCGGAAGAGAUAAGUGCUGAAAGCAUCUAAGCACGAAACUUGCCCCGAGAUGAGUUCUCCCUGACUCCUUGAGAGUCCUGAAGGAACGUUGAAGA